UGGUGUGUAGCUUAGUGUUAAGGCAUCUGUUUAGCAUGCACAAGGCCCUGGGUUCAAUCCCCAGCACCAA
Molecule: transfer RNA, 70 nt
Filed under: Heterocephalus glaber (naked mole-rat)
Lineage: Eukaryota; Metazoa; Chordata; Mammalia; Rodentia; Bathyergidae
Rfam family: tRNA
About the family: Transfer RNA (tRNA) molecules are approximately 80 nucleotides in length.
Source: Rfam by way of RNAcentral